This 99-nucleotide ribosomal RNA is filed under the name uncultured bacterium. RNAcentral describes it as "partial 16S ribosomal RNA". The record is from RNAcentral.
CACACCGCCCGUCACACCAUGGAAGCCAGCUGUACCGGAAGUCGGUGCAUUAACCCGCAAGGGAGGCAGGCGACCACAGUGGGUUUAGCGACUGGGGUG